RNAcentral lists this ribosomal RNA (301 nucleotides) under uncultured Methanobrevibacter sp. RNAcentral describes it as "bacterial SSU rRNA". It matches the Rfam family "Bacterial small subunit ribosomal RNA", at positions 495 to 795 of the family's 1533-position model. Lineage: Archaea; Methanobacteriati; Methanobacteriota; Methanobacteria; Methanobacteriales; Methanobacteriaceae. The record is from RNAcentral.
UGAUAAUGGUGUGCCUGCGGCAGGGGAUAUACCGAGGUUGCAAGCGUGAAUUGGAAUUACUGGGCGUAAAGCGCACGUGGGUGGCUGGGUAAGUUGGAGUUGAAAUCCUCGGGCUGAACUUGGGAAUUUCAUUCAAGACUGCCUUGCUAGAGUGUGGAAGAGGGAAGCGGAAUUCCAGGUGUAGCGGUGAAAUGCGUAGAUAUCUGGAGGAACAUCAGUGGCGAAGGCGGCUUCCUGGUCCAACACUGACACUGAGGUGCGAAAGCGUGGGGAGCAAACAGGAUUAGAUACCCCUGUAGUC